Molecule: microRNA precursor, 94 nt
Organism: Gallus gallus (chicken)
Lineage: Eukaryota; Metazoa; Chordata; Aves; Galliformes; Phasianidae
Source: Ensembl
GAUGUCAGUAGAAAAAAUUGAGGCUUGCUGGUGGAGGGAGCUGAGCAUGGCUCAAUCACUAUUACCAGCAGUAGAAGUUUUGAUUUAAGGGAUC